AGCGUACACGGUGGAUGCCCUGGCAGUCAGAGGCGAUGAAGGGCGUACUAAUCUGCGAUAAGCGCCGGUAAGGUGAUAUGAACCGUUAUAACCGGCGAUACCCGAAUGGGGAAACCCAGUGUGAUUCGUCACACUAUCAUUAACUGAAUCCAUAGGUUAAUGAGGCGAACCGGGGGAACUGAAACAUCUAAGUACCCCGAGGAAAAGAAAUCAACCGAGAUUCCCCCAGUAGCGGCGAGCGAACGGGGAGGAGCCCAGAGCCUGAAUCAGCAUGUGUGUUAGUGGAAGCGUCUGGAAAGGCGCGCGAUACAGGGUGACAGCCCCGUACACAAAAGCGCAUGUGCUGUGAGCUCGAUGAGUAGGGCGGGACACGUGGUAUCCUGUCUGAAUAUGGGGGGACCAUCCUCCAAGGCUAAAUACUCCUGACUGACCGAUAGUGAACCAGUACCGUGAGGGAAAGGCGAAAAGAACCCCGGCGAGGGGAGUGAAAAAGAACCUGAAACCGUGUACGUACAAGCAGUGGGAGCACCCUUUGGGUGUGACUGCGUACCUUUUGUAUAAUGGGUCAGCGACUUAUAUUCUGUAGCAAGGUUAACCGAAUAGGGGAGCCGGAGGGAAACCGAGUCUUAAUUGGGCGUUAAGUUGCAGGGUAUAGACCCGAAACCCGGUGAUCUAGCCAUGGGCAGGUUGAAGGUUGGGUAACACUAACUGGAGGACCGAACCGACUAAUGUUGAAAAAUUAGCGGAUGACCUGUGGCUGGGGGUGAAAGGCCAAUCAAACCGGGAGAUAGCUGGUUCUCCCCGAAAGCUAUUUAGGUAGCGCCUCGUGAAUUCAUCUCCGGGGGUAGAGCACUGUUUCGGCUAGGGGGCCAUCCCGGCUUACCAACCCGAUGCAAACUGCGAAUACCGGAGAAUGUUAUCACGGGAGACACACGGCGGGUGCUAACGUCCGUCGUGAAGAGGGAAACAACCCAGACCGCCAGCUAAGGUCCCAAAGUCAUGGUUAAGUGGGAAACGAUGUGGGAAGGCCCAGACAGCCAGGAUGUUGGCUUAGAAGCAGCCAUCAUUUAAAGAAAGCGUAAUAGCUCACUGGUCGAGUCGGCCUGCGCGGAAGAUGUAACGGGGCUAAACCAUGCACCGAAGCUGCGGCAGCGACACUGUGUGUUGUUGGGUAGGGGAGCGUUCUGUAAGCCUGUGAAGGUGUGUCGUGAGGCAUGCUGGAGGUAUCAGAAGUGCGAAUGCUGACAUAAGUAACGAUAAAGCGGGUGAAAAGCCCGCUCGCCGGAAGACCAAGGGUUCCUGUCCAACGUUAAUCGGGGCAGGGUGAGUCGACCCCUAAGGCGAGGCCGAAAGGCGUAGUCGAUGGGAAACGGGUUAAUAUUCCCGUACUUGGUGUUACUGCGAAGGGGGGACGGAGAAGGCUAUGUUGGCCGGGCGACGGUUGUCCCGGUUUAAGCGUGUAGGCUGGUUUUCCAGGCAAAUCCGGAAAAUCAAGGCUGAGGCGUGAUGACGAGGCACUACGGUGCUGAAGCAACAAAUGCCCUGCUUCCAGGAAAAGCCUCUAAGCAUCAGGUAACAUCAAAUCGUACCCCAAACCGACACAGGUGGUCAGGUAGAGAAUACCAAGGCGCUUGAGAGAACUCGGGUGAAGGAACUAGGCAAAAUGGUGCCGUAACUUCGGGAGAAGGCACGCUGACACGUAGGUGAAGUGAUUUACUCAUGGAGCUGAAGUCAGUCGAAGAUACCAGCUGGCUGCAACUGUUUAUUAAAAACACAGCACUGUGCAAACACGAAAGUGGACGUAUACGGUGUGACGCCUGCCCGGUGCCGGAAGGUUAAUUGAUGGGGUCAGCGCAAGCGAAGCUCCUGAUCGAAGCCCCGGUAAACGGCGGCCGUAACUAUAACGGUCCUAAGGUAGCGAAAUUCCUUGUCGGGUAAGUUCCGACCUGCACGAAUGGCGUAAUGAUGGCCAGGCUGUCUCCACCCGAGACUCAGUGAAAUUGAACUCGCUGUGAAGAUGCAGUGUACCCGCGGCAAGACGGAAAGACCCCGUGAACCUUUACUAUAGCUUGACACUGAACAUUGAGCCUUGAUGUGUAGGAUAGGUGGGAGGCUUUGAAGUGUGGACGCCAGUCUGCAUGGAGCCGACCUUGAAAUACCACCCUUUAAUGUUUGAUGUUCUAACGUGGACCCGUUACCCGGGUUGCGGACAGUGUCUGGUGGGUAGUUUGACUGGGGCGGUCUCCUCCUAAAGAGUAACGGAGGAGCACGAAGGUUGGCUAAUCCUGGUCGGACAUCAGGAGGUUAGUGCAAUGGCAUAAGCCAGCUUGACUGCGAGCGUGACGGCGCGAGCAGGUGCGAAAGCAGGUCAUAGUGAUCCGGUGGUUCUGAAUGGAAGGGCCAUCGCUCAACGGAUAAAAGGUACUCCGGGGAUAACAGGCUGAUACCGCCCAAGAGUUCAUAUCGACGGCGGUGUUUGGCACCUCGAUGUCGGCUCAUCACAUCCUGGGGCUGAAGUAGGUCCCAAGGGUAUGGCUGUUCGCCAUUUAAAGUGGUACGCGAGCUGGGUUUAGAACGUCGUGAGACAGUUCGGUCCCUAUCUGCCGUGGGCGCUGGAGAACUGAGGGGGGCUGCUCCUAGUACGAGAGGACCGGAGUGGACGCAUCACUGGUGUUCGGGUUGUCAUGCCAAUGGCACUGCCCGGUAGCUAAAUGCGGAAGAGAUAAGUGCUGAAAGCAUCUAAGCACGAAACUUGCCCCGAGAUGAGUUCU
Molecule: ribosomal RNA, 2771 nt
Filed under: Salmonella enterica
Lineage: Bacteria; Pseudomonadati; Pseudomonadota; Gammaproteobacteria; Enterobacterales; Enterobacteriaceae
Description: bacterial LSU rRNA
Rfam family: Bacterial large subunit ribosomal RNA
Source: RNAcentral